Hyaena hyaena (striped hyena) is the source of this 727-nucleotide long non-coding RNA. RefSeq lists it as uncharacterized. The transcript is spliced from 6 exons. Lineage: Eukaryota; Metazoa; Chordata; Mammalia; Carnivora; Hyaenidae. The record is from RefSeq and is a predicted model, not a curated record.
CAGGAAGGAGGAAAUGAGCUUCCAGGAUCAUCCAGACCUGUAUCUCUUCAGAGCCAUAAAAGUGCCUUCCAUCAACACAAAAUCAGAUCAGGUUAAAAAUUCACAGUGCCCCUGAGAUGAAAACAAACCAGUUGGCUUGGAAAAAGACAAAGUGCUGAUGCUAGGCCUGGGGAAAAUUUCUCCCAUGCACCUUUUUUACGUGAUGAUAAAUGCCUCAGCAAUAUCCAUUCAGGAAGAUGGCGUGAGAGAUGGUGCUGCUAUCUGAUUAUAGAAUCUUUAUGAACUGGAUUCCUGUGUGAUUCUGUGGAGGAGGACCCCCACCUCUUAUCAACUUAUGAGAAGCAUGUAGUGUAAACAGGGUUCAAACCUUUGUUAUGAGAUGAGGAACUUGAGCCUUGAUUGAGUGAUUUGCCUUAACACAACAUGAAGAGGCAGAGCUGGAUCUUGAACCCAGAUUGGUGGAUGGAAUCCACACCCGGCGUGAAUGAGAUAUAAGGUUUUUGGAGUAAAUAACUGAAAGUGGUCUCAAAGAUAUGGAACUUGCUUGAGAUGUUUGUAUGGAACAUCCCUGUUUGUAUUGAACCAGUUCUGACUGUUCAGUUCACGAGUCAUCUAAGCAGAGAAAUGAUCUUCCUUAUCCCACAUCACAGAUGUCCCUGUAGCUACAGACUCCACCAGCUGAAUAACAAGAGGAUUCUCAAGAUUAUGUUGCAUCUGUUCUUUUUUU